GAUGAACGCUGGCGGCGUGCCUAAUACAUGCAAGUCGAACGCUUUGUGGUUCAACUGAUUUGAAGAGCUUGCUCAGAUAUGACGAUGGACAUUGCAAAGAGUGGCGAACGGGUGAGUAACACGUGGGAAACCUACCUCUUAGCAGGGGAUAACAUUUGGAAACAGAUGCUAAUACCGUAUAACAAUGACAACCGCAUGGUUGUUAUUUAAAAGAUGGUUCUGCUAUCACUAAGAGAUGGUCCCGCGGUGCAUUAGCUAGUUGGUAAGGUAAUGGCUUACCAAGGCGAUGAUGCAUAGCCGAGUUGAGAGACUGAUCGGCCACAAUGGGACUGAGACACGGCCCAUACUCCUACGGGAGGCAGCAGUAGGGAAUCUUCCACAAUGGGCGAAAGCCUGAUGGAGCAACGCCGCGUGUGUGAUGAAGGGUUUCGGCUCGUAAAACACUGUUGUAAGAGAAGAAUGACAUUGAGAGUAACUGUUCAAUGUGUGACGGUAUCUUACCAGAAAGGAACGGCUAAAUACGUGCCAGCAGCCGCGGUAAUACGUAUGUUCCAAGCGUUAUCCGGAUUUAUUGGGCGUAAAGCGAGCGCAGAUGGUUAUUUAAGUCUGAAGUGAAAGCCCUCAGCUCAACUGAGGAAUUGCUUUGGAAACUGGAUGACUUGAGUGCAGUAGAGGAAAGUGGAACUCCAUGUGUAGCGGUGAAAUGCGUAGAUAUAUGGAAGAACACCAGUGGCGAAGGCGGCUUUCUGGACUGUAACUGACGUUGAGGCUCGAAAGUGUGGGUAGCAAACAGGAUUAGAUACCCUGGUAGUCCACACCGUAAACGAUGAGUGCUAGGUGUUUGAGGGUUUCCGCCCUUAAGUGCCGCAGCUAACGCAUUAAGCACUCCGCCUGGGGAGUACGACCGCAAGGUUGAAACUCAAAGGAAUUGACGGGGACCCGCACAAGCGGUGGAGCAUGUGGUUUAAUUCGAAGCAACGCGAAGAACCUUACCAGGUCUUGACAUCCCUUGACAACUCCAGAGAUGGAGCGUUCCCUUCGGGGACAAGGUGACAGGUGGUGCAUGGUUGUCGUCAGCUCGUGUCGUGAGAUGUUGGGUUAAGUCCCGCAACGAGCGCAACCCUUAUUACUAGUUGCCAGCAUUCAGUUGGGCACUCUAGUGAGACUGCCGGUGACAAACCGGAGGAAGGUGGGGAUGACGUCAAAUCAUCAUGCCCCUUAUGACCUGGGCUACACACGUGCUACAAUGGCGUAUACAACGAGUUGCCAACCCGCGAGGGUGAGCUAAUCUCUUAAAGUACGUCUCAGUUCGGAUUGUAGGCUGCAACUCGCCUACAUGAAGUCGGAAUCGCUAGUAAUCGCGGAUCAGCACGCCGCGGUGAAUACGUUCCCGGGUCU
This 1398-nucleotide ribosomal RNA is filed under the name uncultured bacterium. RNAcentral describes it as "bacterial SSU rRNA". It matches the Rfam family "Bacterial small subunit ribosomal RNA", at positions 28 to 1381 of the family's 1533-position model. The record is from RNAcentral.